RNAcentral lists this long non-coding RNA (603 nucleotides) under Gallus gallus (chicken). RNAcentral's name for it is "long non-coding RNA NONGGAT003344". Lineage: Eukaryota; Metazoa; Chordata; Aves; Galliformes; Phasianidae. The record is from RNAcentral.
ACCAUGAGCUGCUGGGAAGUGGUUUGGGAUCAGCAGGGUCAGGUGUGAUGAUUUGAAGCCAGGAACAAGGUCACCAGCAGCAAACAGCCUGACCCCAUUGUCUGUAGGGCUGAGGGUGCUGUAUGGGGCUGCUGAGGGUGUCACCGCACUGUCACAUUAUGUGAUGCACAGAUCCCCGUUGCUGGGAUGCUCUGCUCAAGCAGGACAGGGGAUGUGCUGAGCAACGUGUGGUCGAGUGCCUCCAUCUCAGCUCAGAGCUGCCCAUCGCUGUGGCCUCGCAGUCCUGGGGACCUCAAUGGCAUCUGAGAGAGAGAGGGGAAGCCGUGGUCCUUGGAGGUCCCCAGAGGACAAACGCCUUUUAAGAGCCAUGGCAACUAAUCAGCCCUGCAUGGUGACAUCCCCACCAUCUCCAUGGCGACGGACCGAACAUCACAUAGCAACAUGUGCCUCCCGUACCCAUGGAAACGGGCCGGUAACCACUGCUGUCACCGUGGGGAAAAUAAGCCAUCAGUUGGUAUUCGGGAUCCCAACAGCAAAGCAGGGGAACGUGGCUGCUGGCAGCACCCUGCUGGGAAGGCGAGGAGCCGGCAUUGGUUCAGCACU